ACCAUGACGCAGAGGUAGGGUGGUUCAAGAGAAACAGCGGCGGUGUGUGGGUCUCGUGCUUUUAUCGUCCUCUUAUUGGCUGUCGGCCAUAUUCAUUGACUUCCUGGCCAGAUGGGAAAAACAAACUGUUCAUUUGUACAGUCAACGAAGAGAAGCCAAGCGAGAAACAAGUUGACUGUGGGGAAUUCGAAGACCAGAAGCUCUCGCCAAGAGUAAUGGUGGAUCUCAGAGAUGUUGGGUGCAGCAAUAGCCCGCCAGGUUGAGACCCUUCGUAUAUCUUGUCGAAAGCACCAACUGUGGAGGGCGCCUGGAGGAAGAAGGCCUUCACCGAGGAGAUCGAUAGGCAGGAGAAAAGCUGCAAAAACAAAAAGAAUGACAGGAGAAAGUGGAACAUUUCUAGUAGUCCUUUUCUUCUAACUCGGUGAACAAGGAUAAUGCAGUGGAUCCCAUCGUCAUGUGUGCAUGUGUGUGCGUGUACACGUUUAUGUGCCUAUGUCUCUGCGCGUGCGCGCAGGCGGUAUCCUGUAACUAAUUCAUAAACUGACCACCUGA
RNAcentral lists this unclassified non-coding RNA (552 nucleotides) under Portunus trituberculatus (swimming crab). Its description in RNAcentral is "uncharacterized LOC123504998, transcript variant X6". Lineage: Eukaryota; Metazoa; Arthropoda; Malacostraca; Decapoda; Portunidae. The record is from RNAcentral.